This is a non-coding RNA of Paramuricea clavata, 350 nucleotides long. The record is from the annotation of a GenBank genome assembly. NCBI's taxonomy places the organism in Eukaryota, Metazoa, Cnidaria, Anthozoa, Malacalcyonacea, Plexauridae.
GAAAGUUACUGUUGUUUUUAAGCGUUUAUUAGCAAGUGGGAACGACCAACAUGGCCGCCAUCUAUUCAAAUGGGGGUAACCGCUGGAAUAUUCUUGGCUUCAAUUUUACUAAAAGAGAUGCGCUAUCUAGUGUAUAUAAGAUAUCUAUGCCUUGAGCUCAUGCACGAUUCGAAUUCGCAGAAUAGUGGUUAUAGAUGUGCGAUUACCGCCGCUGUUUUGUUGUUAAAAAUUGAAAGGAUUGCAUAAGCCCAAUUCUCGCAGACUCCUCACUAGUUGGUAAAAUAUUUGCACGAGUACAUUAAUGCAAUUUCCUUGUUCGCAGGCAUCCAAAGAGUUGUCACCGUUCCCAC